Molecule: small nucleolar RNA, 83 nt
Organism: Pelobates fuscus (common spadefoot toad)
Lineage: Eukaryota; Metazoa; Chordata; Amphibia; Anura; Pelobatidae
Product: small nucleolar RNA MBII-202
Exons: 1
Source: RefSeq, a predicted model, not a curated record
UGACACUUUCUCCGGAAUCGCUGUAUUUCCGUGAUGAAUACACAUUUGAACCCCUUUUCAGCUGAUGACUGUACAUUAGUGGU